RNAcentral lists this ribosomal RNA (218 nucleotides) under Campeiostachys nutans. RNAcentral's name for it is "Elymus nutans partial small subunit ribosomal RNA". The stretch from base 47 to 218 matches the Rfam family "Eukaryotic small subunit ribosomal RNA", at positions 692 to 864 of the family's 1831-position model. Lineage: Eukaryota; Viridiplantae; Streptophyta; Magnoliopsida; Poales; Poaceae. The record is from RNAcentral.
GAGUUUGUCGGUUGGUCGGGCUUCACUGUCCGCACUGGCCUGAUGGAUUCCUACCUUCUGAAUAACCAGCAUGCUAUUAAGUUAGUGCGUUGGGGAAGCAGAGCUAUUACUUUGAAAAAAUUGGAGUGUUUAAAGCAGGCUUACGCCUGAAUACAUUAGCAUGGAAUAAUAAAAUAGGACGGCAUGAUUCUAUUUUGUUGGUUUCUAGGAUCACCGUA